AACGAACGCUGGCGGCAGGCUUAACACAUGCAAGUCGAACGCCCCGCAAGGGGAGUGGCAGACGGGUGAGUAACACGUGGGAACAUGCCCAAAGGUACGGAAUAUUCUCGGGAAACUGAGAGCAAUACCGUAUGUGCCCGAAAGGGGAAAGAUUUAUCGCCUUUGGAUUGGCCCGCGUCGGAUUAGCUAGUUGGUGGGGUAAAAGCCUACCAAGGCGACGAUCCGUAGCUGGUCUGAGAGGACGACCAGCCACACUGGGACUGAGACACGGCCCAGACUCCUACGGGAGGCAGCAGUGGGGAAUCUUGGGCAAUGGGCGCAAGCCUGAUCCAGCCAUGCCGCGUGGAUGAUGAAGGCCCUAGGGUUGUAAAAUCCUUUCGUUGGGGACGAUAAUGACGGUACCCAAAGAAGAAGCUCCGGCUAACUUCGUG
RNAcentral lists this ribosomal RNA (431 nucleotides) under uncultured bacterium. RNAcentral's name for it is "partial 16S ribosomal RNA". It matches the Rfam family "Bacterial small subunit ribosomal RNA", at positions 29 to 507 of the family's 1533-position model. The record is from RNAcentral.